Non-coding RNA from Paramuricea clavata, 349 nucleotides. Lineage: Eukaryota; Metazoa; Cnidaria; Anthozoa; Malacalcyonacea; Plexauridae. The record is from the annotation of a GenBank genome assembly.
AAAUUAUAUAUGUAACAGACACUAACGUUAGACCAUUCUCCUACAACUUCCUUGACCAUCUUGCUUGGCCAUUAAAAUCGCGUGGGAUUACAAUUGGCGUAGUCAUAGAGCCGCAUGGGUGCGCGAAAUUAAGACUGAGCGAAAAAUUAUCAGCGCGAAAAAGGUGUUCUGGGCCGGCUUUUACAGCAGUUUUACAUGACAUGCCAAUUCAAUACCAGAAACGUCAACACUGAUGAACAAAGCUCCCCAAAUUCGAUCACGACUCAUGAAUUUUAUAAUAACGGGCUUUCUCAGUUGUUGACGUUAUUUAUAUUGAAUAGAUGGCAUUCCAGCAAUCCCAUGAGACUUU